This 334-nucleotide unclassified non-coding RNA is filed under the name soil metagenome. RNAcentral describes it as "partial contains 5.8S ribosomal RNA, internal transcribed spacer 2, and large subunit ribosomal RNA". The stretch from base 1 to 120 matches the Rfam family "5.8S ribosomal RNA", at positions 35 to 154 of the family's 154-position model. The record is from RNAcentral.
GAUGAAGAACGUAGCGAAAUGCGGUAAGUAAUGUGAAUUGCAGAAUUCAGUGAAUCAUCGAAUCUUUGAACGCACAUUGCGCCCGCCAGUAUUCUGGCGAGCAUGCCUGUUCGAGCGUCAUUUCAACCAUCAAGCCCCAGGCUUGUGUUGGAGCCCUGCGGCUGCCGCAGCCUCCCAAAACCAGUGGCGGGCUCGCUAUCACACCGAGUGCAGUAGUUUACUCUUCGCUCAGGGCGUGUGGCGGGUGCUAGCCGUGAAACCCCCAACUUCUCAAGGUUGACCUCGGAUCAGGUAGGAAUACCCGCUGAACUUAAGCAUAUCAAUAAGCGGAGGA